CCAACGGCCCUCUUUAGGGCCACAAUCCUGCUCGAAUACAGAGACAU
Non-coding RNA from Ancylostoma ceylanicum, 47 nucleotides. The record is from Rfam. NCBI's taxonomy places the organism in Eukaryota, Metazoa, Nematoda, Chromadorea, Rhabditida, Ancylostomatidae.